This is a long non-coding RNA of Lynx canadensis (Canada lynx), 1277 nucleotides long. RefSeq lists it as uncharacterized. The record is from RefSeq and is a predicted model, not a curated record. Lineage: Eukaryota; Metazoa; Chordata; Mammalia; Carnivora; Felidae. The transcript is spliced from 3 exons.
CAUCCACCCCACUGGAGCUCAUCAGAAAAUAACUUCCUACAGUAGACAGUGCUGGCAGCAUCUCUCUGCUGGCCACAGACUAUUCUGGGCAAUGUUUUGAAAAUGAAACUGAUUUAUUAAAAGCUUACAAGAGGCAAAACACAAAAAAACAAAAAAAGCCUGAGGUUGACUUGACUGCUUUGCUGUGGGGAGUGGCCCAAGAUCAUGAGGGCACGUUCAAGGCCCUGGGAUCCAGUGAUGAACAAACCCCCAGGAUCUCGGCUCUCAAGGAGCUUAUGGAGAGCUGGAGGAGACCGGGUCCUACUCACCGCGUGGCUCGCUGCUCUGCGUAAAUAAAUACUGGGAGAAAGUUUGGGGACGCGCCCUCCCAGCCCUGGCUCCCGGGCCUGCGGCUGCUACCCGCCGUCCUGCGGGGCAGUCGGCGCCAAAGCCUCGCGGGGGGUCCUCCAAUGAAGCGCCGAGGAACUCCAUGACCUCAUCGGGAAGCUCUCUCAUUGGCUGCCGCCGCCGCGCCGGGCCUGCCCCUUCCAUUAGAGCUCCGGGUUUCUGCGCGGGCCCGGCCCCUGGAUUGAAGGCUGCUUGGGUUCCUAGCUGCAGGCUUUGCAGGCUUCUCUUUAGAUUCCUCAGAGGAAACUUCUGUUUCUUGAGAAAGACUGAAGUGUGUUUUUCAACCUGCCAAAGUACUGGUUUUCUGCGCUGGUGUGUUACUGGGGUUUAGCUGGCGCUUUCAGCCUAAGUACCUGACCGAUCACAUUUAUUUCCCAUUUAUUUUAAUCAUGUAUUCUAAAGAGUUUUGUCUUUCUUUCCAGUGGAUGAAUUUCUCACGCCCCAUCUUACUGCGGAAUGCUAGUGACCUUCUCUCCCACAUUUACCCUGAGAAUUCAGUGAUUCCCAGAGAGGGAAUAUGACUUUCACAAGGUCACACAGCAAGUUAGUUAGAUGAAAGUCAGAUCCCGGGCUCCUAACUCCAGCUUCAGUGUCACACAUAUUCCACUUGGACGAUCAGACCAGACCCGAAAUCAUUUUUCAAGGCUUGGUUCAGGGGUUACCUCCUCCAGGCAGACUUCCUGGAGCCCCUCUGUGGCCCAAGGGCUCCCCCAGUCCCUGGUGUUCAUCUGAGUGCAACCACAGAGCUAUUUUUCACUUCUUUGUCCCUUUUCCCAAUUAGACUGUAAGUUCCUUGAAGGAUGGCAUCACAUUUUAUACAAUUUUGUAUCCUCAGAACCUAACAUUGUCUGGCACACAAUAGAUGCUUAAUAAAUGUUUGUUGAAUUAAA